This 77-nucleotide small RNA is filed under the name Salix viminalis (osier). Lineage: Eukaryota; Viridiplantae; Streptophyta; Magnoliopsida; Malpighiales; Salicaceae. The record is from RNAcentral.
GAGUAGUACUCUCCUGAAUCACUGUUACAGAUGAAACUGAAUCUGAGCCAUUAUCCAGUUGACUGGGAAGGUCAAUU